AACGAACGCUGGCGGCAUGCCUAACACAUGCAAGUCGAACGAGACCUUCGGGCCUAGUGGCGCACGGGUGCGUAACGCGUGGGAACCUGCCCUUAGGUUCGGAAUAACUCCCCGAAAGGGGUGCUAAUACCGGAUAAUGUCUUCGGACCAAAGAUUUAUCGCCUUUGGAUGGGGCCGCGUUGGAUUAGCUAGUUGGUAGGGUAAAAGCCUACCAAGGCGACGAUCCAUAGCUGGUCGGUGAGGAUGAUCAGCCACACUGGGACUGAGACCCGGCCCAGACGGGUAGGGGCAGGGGGGGAUGUGGAUAUAGGGGAACGAGCGUGAGGCUGGUACGGCUAGUGGGGGGGGGCGGUCAUGGGGUUGGGAACGCAAAGCGCUAUGGACCGAGCUGAUAGUGACGGUACCGGGAGAAGAAGCACCGGCUAACUACGUG
This 433-nucleotide ribosomal RNA is filed under the name uncultured bacterium. RNAcentral describes it as "partial 16S ribosomal RNA". It matches the Rfam family "Bacterial small subunit ribosomal RNA", at positions 29 to 507 of the family's 1533-position model. The record is from RNAcentral.